This 250-nucleotide ribosomal RNA is filed under the name uncultured bacterium. RNAcentral's name for it is "partial 16S ribosomal RNA". It matches the Rfam family "Bacterial small subunit ribosomal RNA", at positions 524 to 773 of the family's 1533-position model. The record is from RNAcentral.
UACGUAGGACCCAAGCGUUGUCCGGAUUUACUGGGUAUAAAGGGUGCGCAGGCGGUCGAGUGCGUCAGAGGUGAAAUAUCCGGGCUUAACCCGGAGGGUGCCUUUGAUACGGCUUGACUUGAGUCCGAGAGAGGGUGAUGGAAUUCCUGGUGUAGCGGUGAAAUGCGUAGAUAUCAGGAGGAACACCGGUGGCGAAGGCGGUCACCUGGCUCGGCACUGACGCUCAGGCACGAAAGCGCGGGGAUCAAAC